ACAUCACGUGCCUCUGUUGCAUACAUUUCAAUGAUGUGAGAGGUUUCUAAAGCAUCUCUGCUAUCAUGAAAUUUAGAAAAGUAUUUUUCCUUUUGUUUUUUAGGAAAGUCGCAUUCCCAUAGUUCCAGGGUCUAUGGCUUUACAAAAAUCAUCAAAUAUUUUGGAUUCAGAGAAAAAAAUCAAUCACGUGGGGAUUUGGAGACUGCAUCUAAUUGGUUUCAAACCCCCGGAGGAACUCAAUCCCUCCCAGUCACCCGGAAAAUGCAAGGAAAAUCAACAAAAUUAUGCAGCCUUUAGCAGCUCAAGUAACUGCUCUCGUAAGUGUAAGCAGGUAGGUCUUUGUCAGUAUAUUUGCUCUUCAGAGAUAAAAUAAUCCAGCCAGCUGCAUUAAUUAAAAAAUAAAGAACCUAAAAUACUUUGGGGCUCA
Molecule: long non-coding RNA, 427 nt
Filed under: Calidris pygmaea (Spoon-billed sandpiper)
Lineage: Eukaryota; Metazoa; Chordata; Aves; Charadriiformes; Scolopacidae
Description: lncRNA (ENSCPGG00000005397.1)
Source: RNAcentral